AUUUUUCAGUGAUACAAAUUGAGAACGCCAAACAACCUAAUCCUAUCCUAACUGAAACAAUGGACAAAAAUAUUUUAUUGUUACAGCGAUAAAUCCUUGAAGGACUAUCUUCUGUGCUAGCGGCAGUGAAGAAAAUUAAUUGUAAAAUCUGGAGCUUGUUUGAUUUUUCUCGUCGUUUGGGAACUAGGAAAAAUCGAUUCUGCACUGCGAAUUUGACUUGCUGCUAGCCCAGAAUGGCCCUGUAAGUUCAUUGGAUUCUUAGUUCUAGUUGUCUUGGUGAAUUUCGUUUGCAUUUUCAGGUUUAGCUGACCAAUGAGUAGGAAGUUAUUUUGCAAUAUAGAUGAAGCUAGGAAGUGUUUUUUAUUCAGUUCAUGAUACGCUUUAACUUGGCUUUUGGGGGUCUGGUGGUGUGAAACUGUGGAUUGCUAUGGAAAUCGUAACUAUGGCAAAUGGACAAAUGGGUUUAUCUUGUUUCGAAAGGAAUGGAAAUUUCACUGGCAGUUAUAGCUGGAAACCAUAUUCUGCGUGUAGGUUUUGGAAUUCUCGGCGAUCCCUUUUUGGUUUUCCAUUAAACACAACGAGUAGGAAGAAGAUUAGAGUUUUGGGUUUUGGUAUAAGAAUUAAGGCUAUUUCAAAUGGAGAUUCGGAUAAUCGGUUGGUUGGGGGUGGACUUCUUGAGAAAGAGUUUGAAUUCAAGCCGUCCUUUGAUGAGUAUUUGAAAGCUAUGGAGUCUGUUAAAACUGCUAAGGAGAAGAAGAAAGCCCUCAAAUUGAGUGGGCAUAAGUUGAAGGAUGACUUAUCAUCAUUGGGGAAAACUGAGAAGAGUUUCAAAUUGAGGUGUAAUCAAGAAAAUAUGUCCAAAGUCAUGAAAAUUGAUGAGUUAGGGGACAAUGUUGAUGGAGCCAUUGGCCAAAGUGAUGUAAAUAAUGGUGAACAUGAUUACAAGGAAAGGAAAGUUAUAGAAUCAAGUGUCAAAUUGGCCAGGAAAGAAAGCAGUGCAUAUACUAAUGUAAAGAGGAGGGAGGGAGGAAUGACAGGAGAUAGGCAGUGGUUGCGUAAUCAAACUUGUAGUACAAAUACUGAGUUGGAGGACUUGUAUCAAGGUAGGAGUCAGAACACUGAAAGUGUGCAAAAAAGCACUAUGGUAGUAGAUAGCAUUAAAAGGAGUAAAAGCACUAUUGGCAUAAAAGAAGAGGCUUCUUACGGUAAAAAUUUACCAGAAAUAUUAGAAAGGAAGGGGAAGACCAUUGAAAGAGAGGAAAUUGGUGCUAGAGGGAGUAAAAUAAGUGGUGGACUUGUGAGGAAUCAUGCACAAAUUGAUGAAAACACUUACAAGGAAAUUGUGCAGAAAAAAGGAUUUCCAAGUAGAAGCAAUCUGGCUUUCCUUAAUGAUGGUGGUGAUGAUGAUAUGGAAAUGGAAAGAGCUGCCUUCAAAAUUUUUGAGGAAUGCGAGGAUAUUACUCCUAGGCCACGAGCUUCAAAGAUGGAAAUGGAGGACAGAAUCCAGAAGCUAGCAAAGUGUCUAAAUGGUGCAGAUAUUGAUAUGCCUGAGUGGAUGUUCUCUAAGAUGAUGCGUAGCGCAAAAAUAAAGUACACAGAUCAUUCUGUAUUGAGGGUUAUCCAGAUAUUGGGUAAACUGGGAAAUUGGAGGCGAGUGCUACAAGUCAUUGAGUGGCUUCAAAUGCGUGAGCACUUUAAAUCUUAUAGGCUAAGAUACAUUUAUACAACUGCACUUAAUGUACUUGGGAAGGCACAGAGACCGGUGGAGGCCCUCAAUGUAUUUCAUGCAAUGCAGCAACAAAUGUCUUUGUAUCCUGACUUGGUAGCUUAUCAUUGUAUUGCUGUCACUCUUGGACAAGCAGGCCAUAUGGAGCAGCUUUUUGAUGUGAUUGAUAGCAUGCGAUCUCCUCCCAAGAAGAAAUUUAAAAUGGCUUUGAUUGAGAAAUGGGACCCUAGAUUGGAGCCAGAUAUAGUUGUCUUCAAUGCGGUCCUAAAUGCUUGUGUUCAGAGGAAACAAUGGGAAGGUGCAUUUUGGGUUUUACAGCAAUUAAAGCAACAGGGCCUACAACCUUCUACCGCAACUUAUGGACUAAUCAUGGAGGUUAUGUUUGCAUGUGGCAAGAACAACUUGGUUCAUGAGUUUUUUAGGAAGGUGCAGAAAUCAUCUAUUCCAAAUGCUAUAGUUUAUAAAGUUCUUGUGAAUACUCUAUGGAAAGAAGGUAGGACAGACGAGGCUGUAUUGGCUGUUCAAGACAUGGAAAGACGAGGAAUUGUGGGCUCUGCUGCUCUUUAUUAUGAUCUUGCUCGAUGUCUUUGCAGUGCUGGAAGGUGCCAAGAAGCACUAUUGCAGGUUGAUAAAAUAUCAAAGGUAGCUAAUAAGCCUCUCGUGGUAACCUACACUGGCUUAAUUCAAGCUUGCCUGGACUCUGGAAGCAUUCAAAAUGCUGUGUACAUCUUCAACCAUAUGAAGCAGUUUUGCUUUCCAAAUCUUGUUACUUGCAACAUAAUGCUGAAAGCAUAUAUUGACCAUGGAUUGUUUGAAGAAGCAAAGGGGCUUUUCCACAAAAUGUCAGAAGAUAGCAACCAUAUCAGGAGUAAAUCUGAUUACAAGUUUAGGGUAAUGCCAGAUAUCUAUACUUUUAACACCAUGCUAGAUGCAUGCAUUGCAGAGAAGAGUUGGGAUGAUUUUGAGCAUGUCUACAGAAGGAUGUUUCAGCAUGGGUACCACUUCAAUGCAAAACGUCAUCUUCGGAUGAUACUGGAAGCUUCAAGGGCUGGAAAGGGAGAACCGUUAGAAAUGACUUGGAAGCACUUGGCUCGGGCAGAUCGGACUCCUCCAUCUCCUCUCAUCAAAGAAAGAUUUUGUGUAAUGCUUGGUGAAGGCAACUCUGAUUCCGCUGUUGCCUGUAUUACCACUAAUCCUAUGGGAGAAUCGCAGGCAUUUUCAAAGAAAGCUUGGUUGAAUUUAUUCAAGGAAAAUGCUCAACGGUUUAGAAGGGAUACUCUGAUCCAACUGGUCCGUGAGGUGAGUGUGCUUGUUGCCAGAAGCAACCCACCAAAUCCUGUAUUGCAAAAUCUAUUAACAGCUUGUAAUGAUUUUCUAAAGACUCCUGUAAAAGUUCCUGAAGGCAACCUGGCAGAAAUCGUAUGUACAGUUCAAUCUUAAACGACUUCCAAAUCUUGAUGAAAUGAAUUUAUUCAUACUUCUCUAAUAUCAAAUUAUACACUUUCUCGGUGUCAUGUGUAACAUUUUCUCAUGGUUAUGAGAUCAAAAGGAACAAUGAUUUAUUUAAAUACAUCUUCUUCCCAAGUGUUUUGACCAAG
Molecule: unclassified non-coding RNA, 3324 nt
Filed under: Hevea brasiliensis (rubber tree)
Lineage: Eukaryota; Viridiplantae; Streptophyta; Magnoliopsida; Malpighiales; Euphorbiaceae
Source: RNAcentral